RNAcentral lists this long non-coding RNA (1338 nucleotides) under Phasianus colchicus (ring-necked pheasant). RNAcentral's name for it is "lncRNA (ENSPCLG00000019976.1)". The record is from RNAcentral. Lineage: Eukaryota; Metazoa; Chordata; Aves; Galliformes; Phasianidae.
CUGAGCCCAGAGCAGAGGAGCUGAGGGAAGCCUUCAUGUUGUCUGCAGCUCCUCACAGGGAGUGGAAGGGCAGCGCUGAGCUCUGCUCUGUGUGACAGCACAGGGCCCGAAGGAACAGCAUGGAGCUGGGUCAGGGAAAGGGUCUGCACCAGAGGGUGGUGAGCAUGGUCCCAAGAACCAGAAAGCAUUUGGACAGAGCUCUCAGGCAUAGAGUUUGAUUUUUUUUUUUUUUUUUUUUUUUUUUUUGUGGUCCUCUGUGGCGCUAGGAGUUGGACUAGAUGAUCGUUACGGAUUCCUUCCAACUUGGGAUACUCUAUUCUAAAUGUGUGGAAGUUGUGUCACGUGUGCCAUACCUGAUUCUGUGUGAAUUUAUCCCUUAGCUUUCCCUUAGCUUAUUCCAAAAUAAUUUUCCCAGCACCAAAUCUGUAGCCUCCAAGGAACUGGAAAUUUUAUCCUUACCAUUAUAAUAACAUUCUCCUGCUUUAUUUCAGGGUGAUGCUGGAGACAAAGGGGAAAGAGGCGAACCAGGACCAAAAGGAAACAAGGGUGACACUCAAAAAGGAGAUCAUGGAGAAAAAGGUGAAGAGGUAUGUGAGUACUACAGAGCUAACUCAUAUUUGUUUUUUUUUCAGAUUGUCUUCCAGAUCCUAAGGAUAUCCAAGUUUAUUUUCACUGAAUGGAAAAUACAUUUUCCAUUCAGUGAUCCAAUUUAUUUAAUUAUUUAGAGCACCUAAGCUAGGCUCUGGCUUGGAGAAGCAUCUGUACUGAGAUGAACACAUCAAAAUUUGCUUCAUUCUACUUGUGUGCUUAAAUGUAGAGUUGGGAUGCCACUGACAAAACAAACUUUUGAGGCUACAUGAUUUUGUAUUGACCUGCAUUGUACUUCUGAGAAGACAGAGUUGAAGAUCAUCGCUAACAACAUUUAAGUAGUUCUACAAUGGCUUCUGACAUCUGGUAUUUCUUAGCUUGAAUUCUUGUUCAUUCCAAGUAGAAAGAUUAACAUUACUCCACACAUAAGAUCAGUUCAAUUUAAAAAUCUUGUUUAAACAUAGUGUAUAUCUGCUAAAAGUCAGGCAAUCUGAUUGACAUAUUUACAGCCAAUGUCAUAGUCACAUAGUAUACAUUUCUAAAUUCAGAGAUAAUUACAAAUUAAAUGAUACCAGAGAAAUAUUUUAUUGUAAUGAAUAGUUAACUUCUUAAUCAUAAUUAGUUAUUGGUUUUUUCCUAUAUAAAUUAACAGCAUGUUUGCCUUUGCAUUUUCUUUUAUGAUCCCCCCCUCCCUUUUUUGUGUUUUGUUUUGUUUUCAAACAGGGAGCUCCUGGCUAUAAGGGUGAAAAG